GCUUAACACAUGCAAGUCGAGGGGCAGCAUGGUCUUAGCUUGCUAAGGCCGAUGGCGACCGGCGCACGGGUGAGUAACACGUAUCCAACCUGCCGUCUACUCUUGGACAGCCUUCUGAAAGGAAGAUUAAUACAAGAUGGCAUCAUGAGUCCGCAUGUUCACAUGAUUAAAGGUAUUCCGGUAGACGAUGGGGAUGCGUUCCAUUAGAUAGUAGGCGGGGUAACGGCCCACCUAGUCUUCGAUGGAUAGGGGUUCUGAGAGGAAGGUCCCCCACAUUGGAACUGAGACACGGUCCAAACUCCUACGGGAGGCAGCAGUGAGGAAUAUUGGUCAAUGGGCGAGAGCCUGAACCAGCCAAGUAGCGUGAAGGAUGACUGCCCUAUGGGUUGUAAACUUCUUUUAUAAAGGAAUAAAGUCGGGUAUGGAUACCCGUUUGCAUGUACUUUAUGAAUAAGGAUCGGCUAACUCCGUGCCAGCAGCCGCGGUAAUACGGAGGAUCCGAGCGUUAUCCGGAUUUAUUGGGUUUAAAGGGAGCGUAGAUGGAUGUUUAAGUCAGUUGUGAAAGUUUGCGGCUCAACCGUAAAAUUGCAGUUGAUACUGGAUAUCUUGAGUGCAGUUGAGGCAGGCGGAAUUCGUGGUGUAGCGGUGAAAUGCUUAGAUAUCACGAAGAACUCCGAUUGCGAAGGCAGCCUGCUAAGCUGCAACUGACAUUGAGGCUCGAAAGUGUGGGUAUCAAACAGGAUUAGAUACCCUGGUAGUCCACACGGUAAACGAUGAAUACUCGCUGUUUGCGAUAUACUGCAAGCGGCCAAGCGAAAGCGUUAAGUAUUCCACCUGGGGAGUACGCCGGCAACGGUGACACUCAAAGGAAUUGACGGGGGCCCGCACAAGCGGAGGAACAUGUGGUUUAAUUCGAUGAUACGCGAGGAACCUUACCCGGGCUUAAAUUGCAGAUGAAUUACGGUGAAAGCCGUAAGCCGCAAGGCAUCUGUGAAGGUGCUGCAUGGUUGUCGUCAGCUUGUGCCGUGAGGUGUCGGCUUAAGUGCCAUAACGAGCGCAACCCUUGUUGUCAGUUACUAACAGGUUCCGCUGAGGACUCUGACAAGACUGCCAUCGUAAGAUGUGAGGAAGGUGGGGAUGACGUCAAAUCAGCACGGCCCUUACGUCCGGGGCUACACACGUGUUACAAUGGGGGGUACAGAGGGCCGCUACCACGCGAGUGGAUGCCAAUCCCCAAAACCUCUCUCAGUUCGGACUGGGGUCUGCAACCCGACUCCACGAAGCUGGAUUCGCUAGUAAUCGCGCAUCAGCCACGGCGCGGUGAAUACGUUCCCGGGCCUUGUACACACCGCCCGUCAAGCCAUGGGAGCCGGGGGUACCUGAAGUGCGUAACCGCGAGGAGCGCCCUAGGGUAAAACUGGUGACUGGGGCUAAGUCAUA
RNAcentral lists this ribosomal RNA (1440 nucleotides) under uncultured organism. Its description in RNAcentral is "SSU rRNA". It matches the Rfam family "Bacterial small subunit ribosomal RNA". The record is from RNAcentral.